RNAcentral lists this long non-coding RNA (284 nucleotides) under Ananas comosus (pineapple). RNAcentral's name for it is "long non-coding RNA (ACOM_LNC034498)". The record is from RNAcentral. Lineage: Eukaryota; Viridiplantae; Streptophyta; Magnoliopsida; Poales; Bromeliaceae.
GUUACUAUUCAUGUGUGUUUUUGAUGUGCUUACUGUUGAACAAAUAAAGUCUGAACACUUGUGUGAUGGCUGAUAAACUUUGGAAACUCUGCAGCUUUAAACGGGGAGUAGUAGAGAGAAAGGAGUCAGCAAUUAUAGUCGCCAUUUGGUGGGCCAUUUGGUUAGAGCGAAAUAAAAGAAUUUUUUAGAGUAAAAAGUUCACUUUAAGAUAGGUGUUGGUUGAUUUACGUUCGCAUAGAAUUUUGUGAUAGACUUAUUGUGUUUAGUUUUUUUUUUCUUUUUUU